Manacus vitellinus (golden-collared manakin) is the source of this 420-nucleotide long non-coding RNA. RefSeq lists it as uncharacterized. NCBI's taxonomy places the organism in Eukaryota, Metazoa, Chordata, Aves, Passeriformes, Pipridae. The record is from RefSeq and is a predicted model, not a curated record. The transcript is spliced from 3 exons.
AAUCUUCCUCUUAUUUUUUUUCCCCCAUGUCACACUGAAGUUUUGUCCUCUCAAGAAGAUUCAGGAGGUGCUGGUAGGCAGGGGGGAGUUUUGUGAGGGCUUCAGAGAGCUGGAGGAAAAAAACCCUGUUCCCCAGACAUGAGCUGGAACAAGUUGUCCUGCCUGCAGCCCCAGGACUUGAAUGUGCUGCUAAAACCCAUCAGUGUAUUCAGCUGUUCCAUGGGAAUAUUCCCCAUUUCUGGACUCUCCAAGGUUGGAUCAUUAGGAUACCACUUUACUCUCUGGUGAAUAUGGAAUGAUCAGAAUUUUGGAUGUGCUCUUGCAGCCUUUCACUGCAGGGCCUGAUGGGCCCCAGCUGACCCAGGCUACUUAAGGCUUCUCUGCUAUGGAAUCACAGCCCUGGAGCAAGGAAUACUGAGA